Molecule: long non-coding RNA, 321 nt
Filed under: Elaeis guineensis (African oil palm)
Lineage: Eukaryota; Viridiplantae; Streptophyta; Magnoliopsida; Arecales; Arecaceae
Description: long non-coding RNA (EGUI_LNC012268)
Source: RNAcentral
CGGCAAUGGCAGUCGGCAUGGAGCAGUUCGAUCUGCUGGUUCAGCAGAUCAGGGGCCACACCGAAGCAGUGCAGGCCAUGCAGAAGUAGCAGCAGCAGCCGUAGGCAUCUGUGUGGCUGGAAAGAGCAUCGUCGGAGUUUCAGAAUCCAGCGAUCGGACGGCUCACUUGGGCUAGUCGCCCUGUCUUCCCUGGAAAGGGGAAGCAGAGGGCGGAGAGCCCUCCGUCUGAUCAUGAUUCUACCCCCGGAGGGUCCCUACCUCCGUUCUGUCAGAAGAUCCUCGAGACUCGCAGUCGAGAGGAUCUCUUGGAUCAAAGGUUCC